CAUACUUAUAAGAAAAGAAAAGAAAACAAACAUACAGAAUUGCCUCCCAUUCGUGUGCGCGUUGUUCAGAUUCAGCCUCCUCUUCUCGGCGGAGCUGGAGUCCUUCAAUGCUUCCAUGGCGGCGCACUCUCUCUAUCGGAGUCCAAGUAGUCCAAGAUGAUCAGAAAGUUGCAGACUCUUGCUUCUGAUGAAUGAAAUGGUGGAUGGAGUUGAAGGGAUUUCUAUUCAGAGGGAAACAAACUCAUUUGGAGUUAGAAUUAGCACAAGGGAGAGAAACUGGGAAAUCGUCUUCAAGCUUCAGCAUGCUGCAAACACUUGACUGCCUGUGCUUUCAAUAAUUGGGAGGGUACUGUGGACCACUUUGCCUUCGAAGUGAAGCUCGUAUAAGGAGGGAAACUGGGAAAUUGUCUUGAAGCUUCAGCUUGCUGCAAAAACUUGCCUGUUAAUUAAUAACUAGAAAUGGAUAGGGUAAAGGUUCUUGUUAUUUUGGCUAUAAGGAGAGCGAUUCUUGAGGAUCUCUAACUUCCACAGCUGAGAAGUAAAUAAAGUGUCGCGGCUAAGGAAGGUUAAAAAAACCCGCCCUGCUAAAUAGUGGCAGGUACAAAGGGUUGCUUAAAAAUGCCGCUGAAUGCAUUCGGUUGAAAUUAACUGCAUCAUUUUUGAAACUGCUGCUAAUUGACUUAAGGAGGUCCAAAACCCCGCUAGACGUAGCAAAAAAUGUGUUUUUUGUAGUGAUGUAUAUGCUUCACCUCAUUUUAGAUGUAUUAGGUUCGCCUCAUACUAACAUACAGUAAGAAAUGUACUGAUUGACUUAGAUCAGUAACUUUACCCCAUGCUUACUAUACCUAUAACACCUUUCUUUCCUUAUAUCUCUUAGAAGUUUUAUGGUGGGAGUCCCAUAGAAAUAGUAGUUGAAAUUUGUUCUAUGAGAAACUUAUGGAAGUCCUAAAACAUUUAAUCCAGAACAAGAAUGAAUAUUGUAUGGAGGUAAAGAAAUUUGGUUGUUAUCCAAUUCAUUUUAAUAUAUUUUCUAUGGCUACUAUGCAGGUGACUCCCAAAACAUUGACUGAUGUAAAGGGUGGCACUUUGAUUUCCCAUGAAGGAAGGGAACUUGCAUGUAAUUUUUCUUUAUUUUGAUGUUACGUAUCAAUAAAUUUUCUAAAUCACCAAAACAUUGUUUCAUUGUACCAGUUUAGCUUGUAAUUAAACAUUUCAUAUAUUAGUUUUAGUGGGUGGAAAUAUGAUGUGCAAACGAUGAAGAGUUGAAUAUUGGAUCAUUUAAGUGAUUAAAUUUCA
This is a long non-coding RNA of Lotus japonicus, 1296 nucleotides long. RefSeq lists it as uncharacterized. The record is from RefSeq and is a predicted model, not a curated record. The transcript is spliced from 5 exons. NCBI's taxonomy places the organism in Eukaryota, Viridiplantae, Streptophyta, Magnoliopsida, Fabales, Fabaceae.